GAUGCAGGGCACGGAGCCAGCUCGCUUGGGUCCCCUGGUGGUCGCUCUGCUCACUACUGCAGGAUUAUCCUGCAUGUUCAGAUCUGCCGUGUUUCAGCGGUGUCCUGCGGUGGGGACGGCAGGAGGUCAAAGCUGCCUGAGUCACGCUCGUUAAUGAGAACGUGAGUAAACUGGAGACGGGUCGGGGCACUCUGCUAGUCUUCAUCACAAGCCGUGAGCUUCAGCAUGCGCUGCAGAACCUCUGCUGCUCGGUUCCGUCUGCUGCAGCAGCGAGGCGUUCACUGACCACAAAGGAGAGUUCGCUCACGGCUUUCAGCUAACCCCAUUCCUCAGAAAGGAUUUCUCUCCACUAAGUCCUUCAUUGCAGGAACUGCUUCACAUUCCAGUAGUUAAAGUCCCUUCAGGACCAGCAGGAACCAGUAGAACCAGCAAAGCGUCUCCUGCUUUAACUGUGCAGGGACGGACCUGAUCACCAGCAGCGGCCGCUGGUUCAUCCUGCUGGAGACGUUCUCCUCCCAGUUCAUACUGGGGAACAUAGCAGCACCUGGUCCCGUCUGUCCACCCCUUCAGGCCACAUCUGGUCAUCAGCAACCUCUGCUUGUACUCCAGAGAAACAGGCCCACAGCAUCAUACGUCCUCCACCAAACCUGCCAGAGGACAUGAGGGGACCUGCUGACCCGCCUGGAGGGUCACUUACUGAUCUGAUGACAUCAGUUCCUGUCCCAGGGAGCUUAUGUUUGUGAUGGUAGGACAGGAAGCAGAUGCAGGCAGUUUUGUCAUGGUCGUCAUGGUGAUGCCACCCUUUGAUUGUCUCUGUUGUCACCCAGGGAAUCGACUUCAGUCCAGCCUGGACGUAGACCUCUGUGUCACAUCACUGGCCUACUUAAAGCCCAGCAGGAGCGGAAAUCACAGAUUCAUAAUUUAAGAUUCUAGACACUGACCAAAUUACAAAUAUAUUGUAGAAAUUAGAAUGAAAUCCUCAGCUGCUUUAUUGUGGACUAUUAGAUAUGAAGCUGUUCACUAAAUUAAUGGAACAAUAAAAGAUGGAGAAUCAUUUUCGUCUUUGGUUCUUGAUAAGCAAGAGAUGAACUUCAAUAAAGAUAAAACAAUAACAGCCACGUGAUUAUGCAAUAUUGGAGGUUUUUAGUGACUGUUGAAAAUAAAACAAACUUUUCUCAUUAUUUUGACAUUUAGCAUAAAUAAUUUAGUUCAGCUGAUUUAGAGUCAAAUGGAGAGAAAAUAGGUUCCAAAUGGCUGCAGUAGAACAUGAACCCAGUAGGUUCAGUGCUGAAUGAGCUGGUAGAACCAGAACCAGCAGGUACUGGCUGAACCAGCAGGAACCAGUACCAGUCCAGUAAAGCCUCACAUGGCCAUAAAGUAAAAU
This is a long non-coding RNA of Xiphophorus hellerii (green swordtail), 1384 nucleotides long. RefSeq lists it as uncharacterized. The record is from RefSeq and is a predicted model, not a curated record. NCBI's taxonomy places the organism in Eukaryota, Metazoa, Chordata, Actinopteri, Cyprinodontiformes, Poeciliidae. The transcript is spliced from 4 exons.